Molecule: long non-coding RNA, 5960 nt
Organism: Anolis carolinensis (green anole)
Lineage: Eukaryota; Metazoa; Chordata; Lepidosauria; Squamata; Anolidae
Exons: 5
Source: RefSeq, a predicted model, not a curated record
GCCAAAAUAGUCCCAAGAAAGAAUAUAGUUUGUCUGCAUGUGUCAUCAAUACCAUUUGCCAAGUGCAUGAGCCAAGAUCAGAAUCCUGGAUAGCUUCAGUUAACUGAAUAGUUUGUCAGCAAAGUGUAAACACAAGCCAUUUACUAAAAAUUGUUUUACAUAUUACUUACUAUACCAAGCCAUCUUGUAAAUGCAAACUAUUACUCCACUUCAGAGAAUAUCAAAUCAGGUGUUGCCAACUCCCUUUUUCUUAGAGUUUCUUUGUUUCUGCACCUUCAUAGUUCUUACAGCCUACCAGGCACAUUUUUAGCAGGUGACCCUUUGAGUAGAGUUUCACCUGCUUUCUUUCUCCCUCUCAGACAAAAAUUAAGUGAAACAGACAGUUUCUAAUUCCAGAAAAUUAUGAUGAAUAAACAAAUUAGAGCGGGUCAAUGAAGUGCUUAUAUACAGUUGUCAAAUGCAUUGAAAAAGUGUAUGAAGACUUUCAGCUCAAUCCUAUUUACAUAAGGAGUGCUGCAACUAGGAAGAAAGGGAGAAGCUAUCUCAUAUCUUUUCAGAUCCCGCUACUUAAGCUGGAAUACACAACACUUGAGCUGGCGACUGAGGAGAUGAUGCCCCUCCCCACCAGUUUCUCUUAACCGUGGUCUUUAGGAAUUGCUGCACAACAGGAUUUAUUUCCAACAAUCAAUGCCCCACCGAUGUAAUGUACUUGUAGAGUCAUUGAAACCCACCUCAGCCAUUCUGAUGGAAAACUGGAGGAGGAUGAAUUGAAGAAGCACCAGGCUAGGUCCCUUCUGAGGACCCUGGUAGACACCUGAUAAAGUAUCCUGCACCUUAGGUUUCCAUUGGCAUAUUCAGGACUGCAGUUGCCUUUCUCAGAGCUGCUGCACAGCCUCUUCAAAAGGUUAAUCCAUAAGAGGACCACCUGUUCUUGUAUUCCAUUCAGGUAAAGGAUAUUGUCAGAGUCCAACUCCAAGCAAUGUGAUGUCUAUCAGACCACUCAUGCUAGCUGACCUUCUACAACAGAAAUGGGAGACUUUGGCCUUACAUGUGAUGUAUUGUUGUGCUCACAUACUUCAGUUUUGGGUGUUGGCUAUGACAAACAGUAGUCUGUCAAAUAAUAUUUGACUAGUGAGGAGCCAAAGCGUUUGGCCUUGGGUCCAGAGUUUUUCAACUUCUAAAUAAAUGAUUUGGAUGAUGGAAUAGACAGUAUGCUUAUCACAUUUGCAGAUGACACCAGAUGAAGGGAGAGAAAGUGCUCCAGGGUACAGGAUCAGAACUCAAAAUGAUCUUUACAGAUUAGAGAGCGGGGUCAAAACUAACAAAAUGAACUUCAACAAGGAUAAAUGUAAGGCACAAAUAUGGGAUUGUGACACUUGGCUUGAUAGCAAUACAUGUAAAAAAGAUUUAAGGAUCUUAGAGAUGAUAAGUUAAACAUGAAUCAACAAUGUGAUGCAUUGGACAAACAAUCAAUUUCUAUACUCAACAGGAAUAUACAGUGUUCCCUCACUUAUUGCGGGUGUUACGUUCCAGGACCACCCGCGAAAAGUGAAAAUCCAUGAAAUAGGGACGUAAUAUUUAUUUUAAUAUUUAUACCUUUUUUUAGUAGUUAGGUGGCCUUUCUCCCCUGCGCAAGCCCCAGAGAGGCUUGCGGGCCCUUUUGCACUGUUUGUUCCCUACUGGCGCCAGUGGACCCCUUGCUCUUCUUCUUCCUGUGCUUCUUCUUGGCACCCUCUUACCCACCAGCUCCCACUGCGCCAUCCCUCUUGUUGGCAUCCAGAGUUGCCUGGCUGGAGCGGCAUUCCUUUCUUCCCUGGCUGUAGUAGCAGAGGCAGCCAGAGUAAUAUGGCAGGCACGGAGCAAGGGGCAGCCUUGAGGAGGAGAAGCAGCAGCAACACCUCAACAGAGAGCUGCCCCUGGAUGCCGACGAGAGGAAGGGUGCAUGCACAAAAGGGAAACUGGCAGGCGCUGCCACUCUGAGAAAAACCACGAAAUAGCGAGUCUGCAAAAAGGGAACCGCAAAGUAGCAAGGGAACACUCUAAUUCCAAUUCAAGGGAAGUAAUAGAACUACCCUAUUCUGUUUUGAUCAACCCUCACCUGGGAUAUUGUGACCGGUUGUGAGUACCAUGGUUCAAGAAGGAUAUUGACAAUUUGUAAUGUAUCCAGAUGAGAAUGAUCAUGAUUAUGGAAGACAAUCGUCCUCGAGCUACGAGGGAUCGCCUAAGUAAGUAAGAUCACUAUUAUAUUAUAGCUGCUGUUCUUCAAUAUCUGAAGGUAUAUUAUGUGAAAGGUGGAGUGAAGUUGGUUUCUGCUUCUUCAGAGACAAGAACAUAUAUCAGUGGAUGCAAAAUUACAAGAAGAGAUAUUACACCUAAACAUUAGGAAGAACUUUUCAGGAGUGGAACAUACAGCUUUGGAGAAUGGCAAACAUUCCUUCCUUUUUAUGCAGAGGCUGGAUAACUUUCUCUCAAUAGUGCUAUAGUUGUGUAUUCCUGUGUGGUCCGUAUUUAACUAGAUGAUGCUUGGGAUCCCUUCCAACUCCAAGAAUAUAUGAAAGUGGGGAUUUUAAGAACAUAUAUUGCCCAUCUUUCCACUGUAGUGAGAUGAGGACAUAAUCUUCAGUCUAUCCCAUAUGUUCUUCAAACAGAGCCACUUCCCAUCUUGCUCAGGAGUCUUCUCCAAAACUCUGGAACAGAUUUUCAAAUGUCACAGAAUGUUACAGCAGAAAGAGAAAAUUACCAAAGCUCUCCCCUUUUGAUCCAAAAAGUACCCUGUUAGACAACACAAUAUCCACCCUCCAUCUUUAAUAAUACUAUGUAUCAAUUUGAUAACAGGUUUAGGUGAACAGUACUGUAAUUUUCUGAUUUCUGCACCCCAAAUCAAAAACCAUUUAAAAAUAUUAUUACAUUAUGUUAUGGCCUUAUAUAUGUUCAUGCAGUUAUUGCUUGAGAACAAUAAUGAAUAACCCCCCCUUUUCCUAGAGUAAAGAUGAAAAAGAAAACACAUGGAAAAACAGGAAUAUUAUCAUAUCUAUAUAAAAUCAAAAACACUACAUUAAGAAGCGUUGCAUGAAAUAAUCCAAAAGCAGACCAGCUAGCAGCCUUGCAUGGUGAAGCAUCAUCUAACUGUAUUCUUCUUACUAGAAGCAAUUAUGUAGAAAUAACACUAAUAAAUGAAACUAUUAAAGGCACAAUGUGAGUCAAUAAGAAUUAAAGCAGACCAGAACUAGUUUUAAGGAUCAUGAAAAAGUUUGUGUUACUGCUAUUGAUCAAUAUUACUUACUUACUGUUUAGAAAAGUUCGGUUCUGUUAUUGAGGUCCUCCCCCCACCCACCCCAAAGGAUUUAUAGUUCACUAAGCGACCAUCAAUAGAUACAUGCUUUUGAGAGGUUACCUCACAACAUCUGAGGAUGCCUGCUAUAGAUGCAGGCAAAACAUCAGGAAAGAAUGCUUCUGGAACAUGGCCAUACAGCCCGGAAAAAUCACAGCAACCCAAUAGAUCAGUGGUUCUCAACCUGGGUUCCCCAGAUGUUUUUGGCCUACAACUCCCAAAAGUCCCAGCCAGUUUGCCAGCUAUUAAAUUUCUGGGAGUUGAAGGCCAAAAACAUCUCAGGAUCCCAGACUGAGAACCACUGCAAUAGAUAGAUAUAUAUAUAUAUUUCCUUUUCUUAAAAACCUUUCCCAGAGGUUCAGAGUUGAACAAGUUCUAAGCUUUAGAACAGUGUUCCUCAAACUAUGCUCCCCCAGGUGUUUUGGACUUCAGCUCCCAGAAUUCCUAACAGCUGGUAAGUUGGCUGGGAUUUCUGGAAGCUGAAGUCUAAAACACCUGGAGGAACACAGUUUGAGAAAUAUUGCCUUAGGAGAUUGGGAAUAAACCCAGCAGCAGCCAUACCCUCAUGAAUAUUGUGCCUAAACUUUUAAUAAACUGUAUCAGUGUGGUGCAGUGUGUUAAAGCACUGAGCUGAUGAACUUGCAGACCGAAAAGUUGCAGGUUCAAAUCCGGGGAACGGGGUGAGUGCCUGCUGUUAGCUCCAGCUUCUGCCAACCAAGCAGUUCGAAAACAUGCAAAUGUGAAUAGAUCAAUAGGUCUCUGGCGGAAAGGUAACAGAGCUCCAUGCAGUCAUGCCAGCCACAUGACUUUGGAGGUGUCUACGGACAAUGCCGGCUCUUCGGCUUAGAAAUGGAGAUGAGCACCAACCCCUCCAGAGUCAGACACGACUGGACUUAACGUGUCAAAGACAGAACGCCACAAGAUAAAAGAUAACAGAGUUUAUUGGAGUUACAGAACCAAAAAUGCCCGUAAAAGACAAGGGCUAGGCAAACACUGGCCUUAAAAGUAAAAGAGACAAGAAAAACGUUCAAAAGAUAAACCGGAUUAAACCGGAGUUUAAUCUGGGUUAAAUCAAAACAGCUUGCUUCAGCCUGGGAAUAAACAAAACAGAAGCUGGUGAACAAAGAGUUCAAAGGAAUGCAACUAAUUGGCAGCAGAUGCUUCUCUGCUGCCAAGAGCUAUGUUUGAGUAACUUAGAGGUUACUCCUCCACACAGCAGGCAAAUUCCCGAUACAAACACAGCAGACGAGGGCAGAAGCAGUCAGCGAAGUCCCAAUCCGUUCCAAAGGUCGUAAGGUAGAUGCAGACGUUUGUAGUUCACCAGUUCCAACGAUAGACACAGGUAGGAGAAUCCGAGGCCGUAGUCAGUCAGUCCGUAAGUCCAGAACAAGCAGAUGGCGUCCGUCAAGAAGACGACGGAAGGUCAAAGGUAGUCAGCAAACGAAUCACACCUGUCUUCAGGAAAACUUCCCACACAGAUCCCAAGCGUUCGUCCAGAUUACCUUGCCCAACGCAAUUUGCUAUUGCUCCCAAACCCCAUUUUAUGCCAGUUACAAGUCCUCAUCGCUAUCAGCUGUCCUCCUUAGCCCGGGCGUUUCCUCAUCACUUUCCUCAUCAGAACUGGAACACCUUUGACUACGCCCCACAGCAUCCCCAGCUGUGGAUCCCGUCCCAUCCCUCCAGCUUGUCCACGGGUCUAAUCCUGAAGGUCCCCAAUCGCCUUCCAUACUAUCAUUGCCAGUGGCACCCAAAUCCUCCCUUACACGAGUCCAUUCCAUGUCAUCCUCUUCCGAGCUAACCAUCUCUUCCUCCAUUCCCUCAGUAAACCCUUCAAAAGAAUCCUCAUCAGAUGGUUCUGCAAAGAUAUCUCGCAGCCGCUUCCUUUCUCGCUCCUCAAGAGUAUCUGACUCUCGAGGAGUCUUACGCCCACGUCUCCCAGUAGCAGAGCCAUGAGGCUCAACCAUAACAUAACGUCAGGGGAAACCUUUACCUUUAUCUAUCUUUCAAACUGUGUACUGUUAUCUUUUUAUUAUAUGAAAGGUAUAUAAACUCUAUCAAAAUGUAGCCUAGAGACAGCCACCCCUCUGUAACCCUGUUCAGAUAAUCUCCUGGGAAUAGAAAAGGUUGGGUAAAUCCCUCUGGCUAUUUCCAAGCCAGGUAAUUAUCAGAUUCCUUGUUUGAAUGCGUAGACAUAUGAUUUCCUUUGCCAGCCAGAUAAGCCCAAAAUGUUUAUACAAUUCACAUGAAACUGAGAAUCUGCUGCUUAUGUGCAUUCAAUAACCAUUGUUUUCCCUGGAUUGCACCCUUUCAGGGGGUGUCUCUACAACUGAUUGAUCAUCCGCUCUGACCAAUCCCCGUCUGCCAUUCUCCCUGCCAAGGAAAUCCCCAGUGACAUCAACUGAACUCUCAGCCAAUCCCGGUGAAGAUUGGGUGAAGAUUCCUGACCAGCCUCUUUGCCAACCAAUCAGGGGAGGGAGCAGGAAUUCUGAAUGGUUUCAGAACUGUAUAUGAACUGUAUAAGAUGUCUUGCAUUUCUCUCUAUCUUUAUCCUUGCACCUUUGGAAGCAAAUUGCUUUUACUUGCAUACCUUUUGGCCGAAUCGUAAUAAACCUCUGUGGCUUGUCUUCAA